Molecule: ribosomal RNA, 280 nt
Filed under: uncultured bacterium
Lineage: Bacteria
Description: partial 16S ribosomal RNA
Rfam family: Bacterial small subunit ribosomal RNA
Source: RNAcentral
GUGGAUUAGAUACCCUAGUAGUCCACGCCGUAAACGAUGGAUACUAGCUGUUGGGGGCAACUUCAGUGGCUAAGCGAAAGUGAUAAGUAUCCCACCUGGGGAGUACGUUCGCAAGAAUGAAACUCAAAGGAAUUGACGGGGGCCCGCACAAGCGGUGGAGCAUGUGGUUUAAUUCGAUGAUACGCGAGGAACCUUACCAAGGCUUAAAUGUAGAUUGACCGAUUUGGAAACAGAUCUUUCGCAAGACAAUUUACAAGGUGCUGCACGGUCGUCGUCAACU